Archocentrus centrarchus (flier cichlid) is the source of this 73-nucleotide non-coding RNA. Lineage: Eukaryota; Metazoa; Chordata; Actinopteri; Cichliformes; Cichlidae. The record is from the annotation of a RefSeq genome assembly.
GGUUCCAUAGUGUAGGAGGCAUCACAUCUGCUUUACACGCAGGAGGUCCUGGGUUCAAUCCCCAGUGGAACCA